UGGGGAAUUUUGGACAAUGGGCGCAAGCCUGAUCCAGCCAUGCCGCGUGCAGGAUGACGGUCCUAUGGAUUGUAAACUGCUUUUGUACGAGAAGAAACACUCCUUCGUGAAGGAGCUUGACGGUAUCGUAAGAAUAAGGAUCGGCUAACUCCGUGCCAGCAGCCGCGGUAAUACGGAGGAUCCAAGCGUUAUCCGGAAUCAUUGGGUUUAAAGGGUCCGUAGGCGGUUUAGUAAGUCAGUGGUGAAAGCCCAUCGCUCAACGGUGGAACGGCCAUUGAUACUGCUAAACUUGAAUUAUUAGGAAGUAACUAGAAUAUGUAGUGUAGCGGUGAAAUGCUUAGAGAUUACAUGGAAGACCAAUUGCGAAGGCAGGUUACUACUAAUGGAUUGACGCUGAUGGACGAAAGCGUGGGUAGCGGAC
RNAcentral lists this ribosomal RNA (421 nucleotides) under uncultured bacterium. RNAcentral describes it as "bacterial SSU rRNA". It matches the Rfam family "Bacterial small subunit ribosomal RNA", at positions 355 to 773 of the family's 1533-position model. The record is from RNAcentral.